RNAcentral lists this ribosomal RNA (460 nucleotides) under uncultured bacterium. RNAcentral describes it as "partial 16S ribosomal RNA". It matches the Rfam family "Bacterial small subunit ribosomal RNA", at positions 338 to 795 of the family's 1533-position model. The record is from RNAcentral.
CCUACGGGAGGCAGCAGUGAGGAAUAUUGGUCAAUGGGCGCGAGUCUGAACCAGCCAAGUAGCGUGAAGGAUGACUGCCCUAUGGGUUGUAAACUUCUUUUAUAAAGGAAUAAAGCGAGGCACGUGUGCCUUUUUGCAUGUACUUUAUGAAUAAGGAUCGGCUCACUCCGUGCCAGCAGCCGCGGUAAUACGGAGGAUCCGAGCGUUAUCCGGAUGUAUUGGGUUGAAAGGGAGCGUAGAUGGGUUGUUAAGUCAGUUGUGAAAGUUUGCGGCUCAACCGUAAAAUUGCAAUUGAUACUGGCAGUCUUGAGUACAGUUGAGGUAGGCGGAAUUCGUGGUGUAGCGGGGAAAUGCUUAGAUAUCACGAAGAACUCCGAUUGCGAAGGCAGCUUACUAAACUGCGACUGACAUUGAUGCUCGAAAGUGUGGGUAUCAAACAGGAUUAGAUACCCUUGUAGUC